Molecule: long non-coding RNA, 210 nt
Organism: Phyllostomus discolor (pale spear-nosed bat)
Lineage: Eukaryota; Metazoa; Chordata; Mammalia; Chiroptera; Phyllostomidae
Exons: 3
Source: RefSeq, a predicted model, not a curated record
UGUGGGCUGAGUACACCCUCCUCUUGUACUUAACCCUUGGUUGCUGUUGGCUGAUCAAUGGGAGGGAUUUACCCAGGCUAGUCAGCUGCCAGGACUGGCCGUGACCACUGACCAUUAACCUCAACCCUUCAUGGAGGAUCAGCUGUGCAGGGGUAGGGUGAUGGUGCUCCAAAGUGGUCUGUAGCUGUCCACUGGGUGUGCAGGCUCUGG